Molecule: ribosomal RNA, 399 nt
Filed under: uncultured bacterium
Lineage: Bacteria
Description: partial 16S ribosomal RNA
Rfam family: Bacterial small subunit ribosomal RNA
Source: RNAcentral
CCUACGGGGGGCAGCAGUGAGGAAUAUUGGUCAAUGGGCUUACGCCUGAACCAGCCAAGUCGCGUGAGUGAAGACUGCCCUAUGGGUUGUAAACCUCUUUUGUCAGGGAGCAAUUGGCGCUACGUGUAGCGUUAUCGAGAGUACCUGAAGAAAAAGCAUCGACUAACUCCGUGCCAGCAGCCGCGGUAAUACGGAGGAUGCGAGCGUUAUCCGGAUUUAUUGGGUUUAAAGGGUGCGUAGGCGGAAUGCCAAGUCAGCGGUAAAAUCGCGGGGCUCAACCGCGCUCCGCAGUUGAAACUGGCGUGCUUGAGUGGGCGAGAGGGAGGCAGAAUGCGUGGUGUAGCGGUGAAAUGCAUAGAGAUCACGAAGAACUCUGAUGGCGAAGGCAGCAUCCCGGAG